UAGGGAAUCUUCCGCAAUGGACGAAAGUCUGACGGAGCAACGCCGCGUGAGUGAUGAAGGUUUUCGGAUCGUAAAGCUCUGUUGUUAGGGAAGAACAAGUGCCGUUCAAAUAGGGCGGCACCUUGACGGUACCUAACCAGAAAGCCACGGCUAACUACGUGCCAGCAGCCGCGGUAAUACGUAGGUGGCAAGCGUUGUCCGGAAUUAUUGGGCGUAAAGGGCUCGCAGGCGGUUUCUUAAGUCUGAUGUGAAAGCCCCCGGCGCAACCGGGGAGGGUCAUUGGAAACUGGGGAACUUGAGUGCAGAAGAGGAGAGUGGAAUUCCACGUGUAGCGGUGAAAUGCGUAGAGAUGUGGAGGAACACCAGUGGCGAAGGCGACUCUCUGGUCUGUAACUGACGCUGAGGAGCGAAAGCGUGGGGAGCGAACA
Molecule: ribosomal RNA, 428 nt
Filed under: uncultured bacterium
Lineage: Bacteria
Description: partial 16S ribosomal RNA
Rfam family: Bacterial small subunit ribosomal RNA
Source: RNAcentral